This 1243-nucleotide long non-coding RNA is filed under the name Cyanistes caeruleus (blue tit). RNAcentral's name for it is "lncRNA (ENSCCEG00000004407.1)". The record is from RNAcentral. Lineage: Eukaryota; Metazoa; Chordata; Aves; Passeriformes; Paridae.
CAGAAAGAGCCAAAAUCGGGGAAUAUCUCCGGGAUCUUUAUUUAGGGAAGAGCUUUUCCUCGGGAAGAGCCCAAAAUCCUCUCCUCAAUCCCAGGCAAACCUCCCCCGUCCCCUUCCCUUGGAAUAUUUCCCUUCCCUUGGAAUAUUUUCCUUGGAAUAUUUUCCUUGGAAUAUUUUCCUUUCGCUUGGAAUUCUUUCCCUUCCCUUGGAAUUUUUCCCCCUCCCUUGGAAUUUUUCCCCUCCCUUGGAAUAUUUUCCCGUGGAAUAUUUUCCUUUCCCUUGGAAUAUUUCCCCUCCCCUGGAAUAUUUUCCCUUGGAAUAUUUUCCCUUGGAAUUUUCCCCCUCCCUUGGAAUAUUUUCCCUUGGAAUUUUUCCCCUUCCCCUGGAAUUUUUCCCCUUCCCUUGGAAUAUUUCCCUUGGAAUUCUUUCCCUUUCCCCUGGAAUUUUCCCCUCCCUUGCAAUAUUUUCCCUUUCCCUGGAAUAUUUUCCCUUCCCUUGGAAUUUUUUCCCCUUCCCUUGGAAUAUUUUCCCUUGGAAGUUUCCCCUCCCCUUGGAAUAUUUUCCCUUGGAAUUCUUUCCCUUUCCCCUGGAAUUUUUCCCCUUCCCUUGGAAUAUUUUCCCUUGGAAUUCUUUCCCCUGGAAUUUUUCCCCCUCCCUUGGAAUAUUUUUCCCCUCCCUUGGAAUAUUUUCCCUUGGAAUUCUUUCCCUUCCCUUGGAAUAUUUUCCCCUCCCUUGGAAUAUUUUCCUUGGAAUAUUUCCCCCUCCCUUGGAAUAUUUUCCCCUCCCUUGGAAUAUUUCCCCCUCCCUUGGAAUAUUUUCCCCCUCCCUUGGAAUAUUUCCCCCUCCCUUGGGAUAUUUUUCCCGUCCCUCCGGGAUUUUUGCCGAGGGAUGGCUGCAGGAAGUGGCAGCGGGAAUUCCUCCCUGCCCUAUCCCCAUUUUCCCCUCAUUUCCCGGCAUUUCCGAGGCCUCUGAGCGCCCCGGGGGGUGCAAAAGAUGUUCUCCCCUCCUGUGAGCAGCGGCAAGAACGGCCCCACGUCCUUGGCCAGCGGCCACUUCAGCGGCUCCAGUGUGGAGGAGAGGAGCAGCUCCGGCUCCUGGGGCAGCGCGGGACAGCCCAGCCCGGCACGGGUGAGCAACACGCGGGAAUUGGGGAAAAAAAUGGGGAUUUGGGGGCAAAAAUGGGGAUUUUGGUUAAAGAAAUGGGGAUUUUGGUUAAAGAAAUGGGAAUUUCGGGGAAAAAAAU